Molecule: long non-coding RNA, 1474 nt
Organism: Humulus lupulus (European hop)
Lineage: Eukaryota; Viridiplantae; Streptophyta; Magnoliopsida; Rosales; Cannabaceae
Exons: 3
Source: RefSeq, a predicted model, not a curated record
UAAAUUUUUUUUUAAAACCUAUUUUUAUUUCUACUCUCUCAUUCUUCUUCCUGUAGCUUAUGAGCUCCGUGGUUAUGUACCUCUUUGGUUUGAAAAAUUGAAAGUUUGAAGGCUCUGCUCUCUCUCUCUCUCUGAGAUUAGCUCAUGAUGAUUGCAAUUCCAUAUCUAACAGCUUUAUUGACCUAAUUCAACUAUGGCCUCCUCUUCUUCUUCAGCAAAAUUAGGGAUUUCUUCUGCAAACUCAUCGAUUGGUCUUAUGCUAGUAAUCUCCAUGGUUAUGCACUUCUUUUCUUGGGACUCGAGGAUUUCUACACUCGUCGUCUCCAUCUUCGUAUUCAGGUAAAGGCAAGGGCAAGGUGGACCAGUCCUGAGUUGGAGAGCUCUGGGGCAGAAUGUACAUAGUCAGCUGAUCGGUCGCCACGGCCGAGGGAUGGUACAAGGACAGGAGAACCUAAAAUGCCUAUUUUGCCAUUAGAGUGGCUUGUGGUUGUACAUAAACUUUGAAAUUUUGUAAAGGGAUAAUUGCGGCAUUAAUGCCUAUGUAGUUCAGUUUAUUGCACUUAAAUGCCUAUGUAAAAUUUUUUACGGCAAUAAUGCCUACCGUUACGAUUUUAGAGCAGCCGUUGGUCCCUGGGCCGUUAGGGGUAUAUUUGAUACACGUGUCACGACCCGAUUGGGUUAAAUUAUUAAAAUUUAAAAACAAAAACAAUUAAUGGUUCAGGUUUCUAAUUAAAAACAAAAAAAAAAACUAACCUUCAUUAAUUAAUUUAACAAGAAAAACCGAUUGUCUAAAACCAAGUUCUAAAACUAAUCUAAAACAAAAAAAACUCAAAACUCCAUACCCAGAAAAACGAUGAAGAUGAAGUUUCCCCCCGACCACACCCAGACGAUCCACCCCCGACAGUGUAGCACGUGAACCCAGUAGAAGAAAACUUGUAAUUCCUUCGAAUUGGGGGUUAGGGCAUCUUUUGCAUCGGGUUAAUGGAGAACGGAAAAAAUUGCCAUUGUCGACCACCAAGGCCAGUGGUAGAAAAAACGGCUUGGACAAACAAAAAUCCUGGGCGAAGAUUCAGAACAUGCAACAAGUAUCGGAUUCAUGGUGGGUGUAAUUUCUUUGAAUGGAUAGACCCUCCAAUGUGCCAUCGAGCAAAGGUGGUCAUCCCUGGACUACUAAGAAAAAUUGGUGACCUUGAAACUGAAAUCACAUCCCUAAGUACGACAACUGACAUUGGAAGUCAUCGGCAAUGCAGUGGUUCUUCAAAUGGAUUUGAGACACAAUCUCACAACCUUCAAAAUGUUGGAAGAGAAAGCUGUGAAAGUUGUGCUGAAAGCAGGGGUAGAGUAAAUGAUGGAGGUCGAAUGCAGUGUUACUACUUUUUGAAUACUAUGUAUUUUGCUGUAAUUCUAUUGGUUGUGGUUAUUUGGGCUACAAAAUCAAAGUAGAAGUUGUUGGCAUUGAUUUGUAAUGAAUUUU